Molecule: non-coding RNA, 93 nt
Filed under: Wenxinia saemankumensis
Lineage: Bacteria; Pseudomonadati; Pseudomonadota; Alphaproteobacteria; Rhodobacterales; Roseobacteraceae
Description: Glycine sequence
Rfam family: Glycine riboswitch aptamer
About the family: This family represents the bacterial glycine riboswitch.
Source: RNAcentral
CGGGAGAAUCCGGCAGCGCUGCCGGUGCCGCACCGGCGGCGAUGCCGGUGCCGAAGGAGCAACAGCCCCGGAACCUCUCAGGCGAAAGGACCG